This is a long non-coding RNA of Anguilla rostrata (American eel), 997 nucleotides long. RefSeq lists it as uncharacterized. The transcript has 2 exons. NCBI's taxonomy places the organism in Eukaryota, Metazoa, Chordata, Actinopteri, Anguilliformes, Anguillidae. The record is from RefSeq and is a predicted model, not a curated record.
CAGCGCUGACUUCGCCCUCCUUGUUCCAGACGGAUCAUGGACAGUGAUUAGGCAGCCUGCUCGCGCUGGCUGGGUUUCAGCGAGAUGUUUAGGUUAACGGGGGGGCUAUCGCCAAACCCUCAGUGAGGCUGUUAUUGUUAGCGUGUCCUCCGCGUCGAUUUGAGGAAAUUGAGAACGUAAACACAGCGCGUCUAAAGCCCCGAGAGUGCAGAGGCUACGCGACCGUCAGAAAAGGGACUUUUGCGGUAAUCCAGGAAAGGUGCCAUAGAAGCAUCUGACAGGAUGCUAUGGAGUCGUGUGAUGACUGCAAGCAACCAGGCUAAUCAAUCUGAUCAGGCCAGACGCAUUAAAUCAGUCCUGUUCUGGUAUGUAACUGGUAUGGCACCCGUGGGGGCCUAUAAGCAGCCGCUUAUGUCACUUAUAGCAGCUAGCCGGCGCUGACACUGGGACUCCUCUGGUGGAGAGGGGCAGCUAUUAGGUAUCAGCUCCGGGCAGCGUUCAGCUCUGCGACGCAGGGCUGCGCAGCCGGUCGAGCGGACUGCUGACUAAAAAUAAGCAGGGGCCCUCAGGGCCCACCGAAGCCUCUUAGCAGAUUUUGGAGUCACCAGACAGCUGCUGUUAUCAGAUCAGAUGUGCCUACAUGGCGCCAUGGGCUAUGGUCACACCUGCUCUAAAACAUCGCCCCCUCGCUGAUAGCGGACAGUUCUGGAGCAAAGGGAUGAACUGGACAAACAAACGGCGGUUUGUCAGCUGAAAUAAAACGGCAGAUGACUGGAGAAGACGGAUGGAAAGUCAACCGGACCGACGUCCAUCCUGUCAGAUGUCACUGAAUAGGGGCACUGAUGGGUUUGAUUGUCAGAUGACAUUUCAUUUCUGCAUUUAUGUUUAUGAUUGCUUGAUUUUACUGAUAGGUUAUCGGCCUUUUCCCCUGCCAUAUCCUGGACCAUUUAAAAGACAGACAUUACCCAGUGUCAUCAUAAAGACUAAUAAAAUUUAA